CGGCCGCAUAGCAGGCGCCCGCAGAAACGCAACUGAACGAUGAGCUGAGGGUCGCUGCAGUGGAUCUUGAGUAUCUGCAGUACGUCGGGGCUGUCCCCACUCUCUGCGGAGGCGAUCAGUCAGGCCACCCGCUGUCCCCAAACAGGACUUUUCUUCCAGCAGCCAGAGGAGGAAGCUAAGCCCGUAGUCCGGCCUAUUCUCCCAACCCCCACCUUCAGCCUCUACUGCUCUCUGCCCAGAGAGAACGGAAAGGAGAUGCAAAUAGAUCAUCUCCAGACUUGGAAACAACUAUCCAGUCUCAUGUGGUCCAGCUGUCCUUCCACAGAGUUCCCAGCUUUUGACUCUGCUCAUAGUCCUGCCCAACCCAGGCAUGAAUCCCUCCACUGCCUUUGACAAGAAGUCUAAGGUCACAGUAACAGCAGAACAGAGGUGGGUCCUAGGCCAGUAUGUUUCUCUUAUGAAAGCUGACAAAAGGUAUCUUCCACCUGAAUGGUGCGCAUGCUCCAAAACCAGCCAGACUAC
This 522-nucleotide long non-coding RNA is filed under the name Rattus norvegicus (Norway rat). RNAcentral describes it as "long non-coding RNA NONRATT014192". Lineage: Eukaryota; Metazoa; Chordata; Mammalia; Rodentia; Muridae. The record is from RNAcentral.